Molecule: ribosomal RNA, 447 nt
Filed under: uncultured bacterium
Lineage: Bacteria
Description: SSU rRNA
Rfam family: Bacterial small subunit ribosomal RNA
Source: RNAcentral
AGAACGAACGCUGGCGGCAGGCUUAACACAUGCAAGUCGAACGCUUCCUUCGGGGAGAGUGGCAGACGGGUGAGUAACACGUGGGAACGUACCCCUUUGUUCGGAAUAACCCUGGGAAACUAGGGCUAAUACCGGAUACGGCCGAGAGGCGAAAGGUUUACCGCAGAGGGAUCGGCCCGCGUCCGAUUAGCUUGUUGGUGAGGUAAUGGCUCACCAAGGCAUCGAUCGGUAGCUGGUCUGAGAGGAUGACCAGCCACAUUGGGACUGAGACACGGCCCAAAACUCCUACGGGAGGCAGCAGUGGGGAAUAUUGGACAAUGGGCGCAAGCCUGAUCCAGCCAUGCCGCGUGAGUGAUGACGGCCUUAGGGUUGUAAAGCUCUUUUACCUGGGAAGAUCAUGACGGUACCAGGAGAAUAAGCCCCGGCUAACUUCGUGCCAGCAGCCGC